AGAUCUCUCACUACGGACCGCAUGCUGACGGACUUCCCUGGGCCUGCUACCUGAGACCUCCUGCUUCCUCUCGGACUCACUCUGCGGCUUCUUCCUGGACCCACCUGGUACCUGCACCCUCUCGUUGCCCAAGACCAUCCUCACUGCUCCUGCCCUUUGGCUGUGGACCAUUGAAACGGCGUGCAACAGACUCCUGCUGGAUCUUGGUGCAAGAACCUCCUCUGCUGAUACUGCAAAAUUGACUCCACUACUCUGAGGAUGAGGAAAGUAUUCAUAAAAGAACCUUGAACCAGCUCUGCCUAGUUCUUUAAUUUUUGAGCAUGUAGGAUACAGCUGAGCUAUUUCAAAACUCUACAUGGGAAUGUUUUAAUGGGAAUGUUUUGACUCUUCAUGUUUUUAGAUGUUUCUUAAUUCAAGCUAAAUGGCUGUGUAAGUACCUCUAGUACAUGCAGUAGGGACUAACGUUUUAAAAAUGUGGAGCUUCAACUUGUACCCGUAGGAGAAGUUCUUAGUUUUUCAAACUGCAUAGCAUCAAAAUAGAAGAAUAGAUGAGCAUACUUUGGGGGCUCUUGAAGAAAUGUGAUUGUUUCUUUCAUCAGCUGAAGUGAGUACUUGCCUAAAGGCUGAUUUCUAUGUGAACACAACCUGGAAAGUUUUCAGGGUAGUGAGUCCACGGGAGCUUUGACAAGCAUGGCAUGCAGGCUGGUGAAAAUACACAGCUAAUGGUUCUGGCUGUGUUGAAAAGGAGUGUUUUGUAGCAGAGAAUGUACUCUAUUAAUCAGUGUUAUUGUAUGUACAUACCUAUUUUGUUUGUCCUGAGGGAAAAAAAUGAUCUAAACAGUAUUAAAAUAUGUUAUCAAAUUGCAUUAACAUUUAUUCAUGUUACAAUAUAUAUUUAAGAUAAUUUCAAUAAACUAAUUUUUGUUUUGAUAGAGAUACAGAAACUGAUGUUGAUGUUUCAACUCAAGUUGAAAAAACAGUAGCUUGAAAACAGUGGGAAAAUAAAGGAAUUUUAUUGAAAACUGGUGUUCAUUCAAGGAAUUAUUAUUACUUGUUGAUAAUGAUUAAAGAGUGUAUUUUGAAGACUUUCCAUGCAUUGUGGUUUUACAUGGCUUUGAAUAAACAGAAUAUGUUGCACUAGGUAUUGAACACUACCAAUCUUUACAUCAUCACUGUAGACGCACCUUUGAAAUGUCAUAUUUUAUCUUACUUUGUUGCUUAUUGGGAGAAAUAAGAAUUUACUAUACUUCUAAUACAUAGUACUUAAACCAAUGAGUAAAAUGUGAUUGCUCAACUACACUUAGCAAAGAAUGAGAUAAUUG
RNAcentral lists this long non-coding RNA (1322 nucleotides) under Gallus gallus (chicken). Its description in RNAcentral is "lncRNA (ENSGALG00010016140.1)". The record is from RNAcentral. Lineage: Eukaryota; Metazoa; Chordata; Aves; Galliformes; Phasianidae.